GAGAGUGAGGGGGCGGAUGUAGCCAAGUGGAUCA
RNAcentral lists this transfer RNA (34 nucleotides) under Rhytidocaulon elegantissimum. Its description in RNAcentral is "partial tRNA-His". RNAcentral also lists the same sequence under 2 other names. The record is from RNAcentral. Lineage: Eukaryota; Viridiplantae; Streptophyta; Magnoliopsida; Gentianales; Apocynaceae.